This is a non-coding RNA of Callorhinus ursinus (northern fur seal), 364 nucleotides long. The record is from RefSeq and is a predicted model, not a curated record. Lineage: Eukaryota; Metazoa; Chordata; Mammalia; Carnivora; Otariidae.
UCAUUUUUAAUACCUGGGUGCUGGUCAUUUUUCUCAGUCAUGUUCCAGCACACUACAAAUUUUGCCAGGUUGCAAGUGUUCUGUGGAGACACCGAGAAAGCCUCAGCUGAGGAAGAAUGUGUGUGGCACUGUCCAUAUCUAACCUGGAUUGCGGAUGAUACUCAAGAGGUGUGAAUCACAGGGCAGUAUCUACUUCCAAACAAGUUCUCUUGAGAGACUGCAGAAAAAUCUCCCUCAUUCUCAAACCUCUUUUUCUUCAAGCUUAAGCGCUGUAUAUAAAGAAAAACCAUUUCUCAUCUAAUUGUGCAUAUGGACUGGCAUGGCUUUGUUUUCUUCCUUUGCAAAUAUACUAAACCAAUUUUAA